This 260-nucleotide unclassified non-coding RNA is filed under the name soil metagenome. RNAcentral's name for it is "partial contains small subunit ribosomal RNA, internal transcribed spacer 1, and 5.8S ribosomal RNA". The record is from RNAcentral.
UUUCCGUAGGUGAACCUGCGGAAGGAUCAUUACCACGCGAUCCAAAACGCUCACUCAAUUAACUUAAUGUGCCGGGGUUGCCGCGAGGCUGCUGCGGCACAUUGUAUCUCACCCCCUCCUUUCAAACUCCCAAUGCGGACACCGAAGCAACUUCGGCAACAGCCCUGGGUGUGCGCGUGUUCGUGGCUCUGCCGCGGCACUCGCCCCCCAGUACCAUAUCACAAUGCUUACAACUUUUAGCAACGGAUAUCUUGGCUCUU